Molecule: long non-coding RNA, 1005 nt
Organism: Raphanus sativus (radish)
Lineage: Eukaryota; Viridiplantae; Streptophyta; Magnoliopsida; Brassicales; Brassicaceae
Exons: 2
Source: RefSeq, a predicted model, not a curated record
CGUAUGUGACUGAGAAGUGUUUUACGGACAUCCGCCCCGUGGAAGCUCGCGAAGACAUUAGUGAUGUUCGUUUGGUUGCCGCAGGUCCGGCGUCUGCGUCUGCGGCAAUGAUUUUCGCACAAAGCUUGUUCGUUUCAUCGACGCAGGUACCGGCGUCGGCGUCUGCGUCUAGACGCAGCGUCCAGCGUCAAGACGCCGAAAAAACCAGCGGCCGCGUCAUUUUUUCUGCGUCUACUUUACCUAUUUACCGUUUUACCCCUAACUUGAUUUCCUAAUUACAAAAAUAUCUAAACCUAUUGACGCAGACUCACCUCCAUUGACGCAGACAGCUUUCUUCUCCAACUCUCUCUCGAUCUCGAACCCAGCUCCCUCUUUCGAUCUCCGGCGUAAACGCAGUGCUCUCUAUCUCUUCUCCGGCGCAGUUCUCUCUCUCGAUCUCCCGACGAAAACCCAUCUCCCGAACUCUCUCUCUCGAUCUCGGACGCGAGCUCUCUCUCUUCUCCGACGCAAACCACUCGAGCUCUCUCUCUUUGAGGCUCUCUCGUCUCAAGCUCACACACAUUUCUGCAUAUCUUUUUGUAAUGUCGUUUGUAUGCUUGUGCUAACAAAACAAUGAAUGGUGUCUUGGUGAACAGAGAGCCCAAAGAAGGUUGAAGAGAAGAAAAUAGACGCAUGGGGAAGUGCUGUUCCCGAAGAUUUGGAACUGGACGAGGAGGCACUUGCUAAGAACAGAGUCAAGAGCCUGCUCGGCUAAGAAUCAUAGCUUCAGUCACAUGAACAUGAUCGUUGGAAGUAGUUUUCAUUUUGAUUGAGCCAGAGCUCGUUUUUGUACAUCACUCUCUUACGUUUUUUUUUUUUUUUAAUCAAUGCUCUCUUACAUUUUCUUAGUCUGUAUAUGAAAAGUAACUUUGAAGUCAAACCCCUCUCUCCGGUUUCUCUACUUUUGUUAUGAUAAGUGAGGCUCUGUCUUCUUGUUUCAUAUUUACUAAAAUGAUGUUGACAAUA